UUCCAGACUCCUACGGGAGGCAGCAGUGGGGAAUAUUGCACAAUGGGGGAAACCCUGAUGCAGCGACGCCGCGUGAGCGAAGAAGUAUUUCGGUAUGUAAAGCUCCAUCAGCAGGGAAGAAAAAAAUGACGGUACCUGAGUAAGAAGCACCGGCUAAAUACGUGCCAGCAGCCGCGGUAAUACGUAUGGUGCAAGCGUUAUCCGGAUUUACUGGGUGUAAAGGGAGCGUAGACGGCAAUGCAAGCCAGAUGUGAAAGCCCGGGGCUCAACCCCGGGACUGUAUUUGGAACUGUGUAGCUGGAGUGUCGGAGAGGCAGGCGGAAUUCCUAGUGUAGCGGUGAAAUGCGUAGAUAUUAGGAGGAACACCAGUGGCGAAGGCGGCCUACUGGACGAUGACUGACGUUGAGGCUCGAAAGCGUGGGGAGCAAACAGGAUUAGAUACCCGAGUA
This 449-nucleotide ribosomal RNA is filed under the name uncultured bacterium. RNAcentral's name for it is "partial 16S ribosomal RNA". It matches the Rfam family "Bacterial small subunit ribosomal RNA", at positions 329 to 792 of the family's 1533-position model. The record is from RNAcentral.